UGCAAUGUUUGCAACCGACUUCGUGCAGCUGGCAUGUGACAGCACAAGCAUGAUGGCUGCAAGGGUGUUUUGUGAAGC
RNAcentral lists this non-coding RNA (78 nucleotides) under Tripos fusus. The record is from RNAcentral. Lineage: Eukaryota; Dinophyceae; Gonyaulacales; Ceratiaceae.